This 848-nucleotide ribosomal RNA is filed under the name uncultured Staphylococcus sp. Its description in RNAcentral is "bacterial SSU rRNA". It matches the Rfam family "Bacterial small subunit ribosomal RNA", at positions 64 to 879 of the family's 1533-position model. The record is from RNAcentral. Lineage: Bacteria; Bacillati; Bacillota; Bacilli; Caryophanales; Staphylococcaceae.
GAGCGAACGGACGAGAAGCUUGCUUCUCUGAUGUAGCGGCGGACGGGUGAGUAACACCGUGGCAUAACCUACCUAUAAGACUGGGCAUAACUUCGGGAAACCGGAGCUAAUACCCGGACUAAUAUUUUGAACCGCAUGGUUCAAAAGUGAAAGACCGGUCUUGCUGUCACUUAUAGACUGGAUCCGCGCUGCCAUUAGCUAGUUGGUAAGGUACACGGCUUACCAAGGCAACGAUGCAUAGCCGACCUGAGAGGGUGAUCGGCCACACUGGAACUAGAGACACGGUCCAGACUCCUACGGGAGGCAGCAGUAGGGAAUCUUCCGCAAUGGGCGAAAGCCUGACGGAGCAACGCCGCGUGAGUGAUGAAGGUCUUCGGAUCGUAAAACUCUGUUAUUAGGGAAGAACAUAUGUGUAAGUAACUGUGCACAUCUUGACGGUACCUAAUCAGAAAGCCACGGCUAACUACGUGCCAGCAGCCGCGGUAAUACGUAAGGUGGCACAAGCGUUAAUUCCCGGAGAAUUAAUUGGGCCUAAAGCGCGCGUAGGCGGUUUUUAAGUCUGAUGUGAAAGCCCACGGCUCAACCGUGGAGGGUCAUUGGAAACUGGAAAACUUGAGUGCAGAAGAGGAAAGUGGAAUUCCAUGUGUACCGGUGAAAUGCCGGAGAUAUGGAGGAACACCAGUGGCGAAGGCGACUUUCUGGUCUGUAACUGACGCUGAUGUGCGAAAGCGUGGGGAUCAAACAGGAUUAGAUACCCUGGUAGUCCACGCCGUAAACGAUGAGUGCUAAGUGUUAGGGGGUUUCCGCCCCUUAGUGCUGCAGCUACGCAUUAAGCACUCCCCUGGGGA